GUGUUGUAUAAAAGGAGAGAAAGCACUCACGUUGACAAAGAUGGAAGAGGCACUUGGGCCUGACAACAUGUGAGACAAUUAAGGCAUUGCCACCUACUUCCAAGGACAUUUAUUAAGUACCUUCU
This 125-nucleotide non-coding RNA is filed under the name Aotus nancymaae (Ma's night monkey). The record is from RNAcentral. Lineage: Eukaryota; Metazoa; Chordata; Mammalia; Primates; Aotidae.